Molecule: long non-coding RNA, 5893 nt
Filed under: Pan troglodytes (chimpanzee)
Lineage: Eukaryota; Metazoa; Chordata; Mammalia; Primates; Hominidae
Description: long non-coding RNA NONPTRT012318
Source: RNAcentral
GGGAGCUCGGUUUCAGCAAACGCUGCAGCAGAGGAAAAUCAGAUCCACCUGCCCGCGGGGUGCGGGGGAGCUCGGUUUCAGCAAAUGCUGCAGCAGAGGAAAAUCAGAUCCACCUGCCCGCGGGGUGCGGGGGAGCUCGGUUUCAGCAAACGCUGCAGCAGAGGAAAAUCAGAUCCACCUGCCCGCGGGGUGCGGGGGAGCUCGGUUUCAGCAAACGCUGCAGCGGAGGAAAAUCAGAUCCACCUGCCCGCGGGGUGCGGGGGAGCUCUGUUUUAUGCCUUGAAAUGCAUCUGCGGCAUCCCAUUGUAAAACUGCCCGUGAACGCGGGCUCGCUCGCGUCAGGCGCUCGCUCCUUUAAACAGGAAGGUGCUCUAAGACAUCGCUGAGAGAAUUAAAAGUAACUACAUAGCAGGAACAGCACGAUCUCGUUUGAAGAUUUUAUUUAGAAACGCCAAAAAAGGAGAGUGGCCAAGAUGCCCGGCUGCUCACCAGCCCACAGGAUGGCUGUAUUCCCAGCAUUCCUUGCAGCGAGUGACUUGUGACCGGCCCAGCAUUCCUUGCAGUGAAUGACAUGUGACUAGGCUCCAGCCAAUGGGGUGCAAGCAGGCCGUAAUACCAGCUGCGUGGUCCCCCAGGCCGGUCCCCUCUCUGAGGGUACUAUCUGUGCCCAGGCACCUCGACACCUCCAUCCCGCCUGGCACCGCCUCCAGCAGCCUGAGCCCCAGAACCUCAGGGACAGCAGAGUCUUGGACCUUGCCUCCGUCCCCUCUGCCAGCCAGGACCACCCAUGCUUAGGGAGUGGAAAUAGACUUGCUGUGCCCAGCCAUGCUCAGAGAGGACGUCAAAACACACACGGACAAAUCAAGGUAGGUAAAAGUGAGGCUGCCCUGGUAGGAUUAAAGUGGGGGCUUCCACUUCCUGCUUCCUGGGGAGCACAGAGGGGGCUCCAAGGAACAGGAGACACUGAUUCACAACCACCCCAAAACCAGGGGAGCUGGUUUCAGUAUCCUGCAGAAACGCUAGGAAUGGGGGAUAAAUACAAAUUGAGGGCCUGGAGACACGAGACCCAAAAUAAGACCCGUCAGCAAGAGCAGAGGGACAGGGGGCCGAGUCUGUGUGGAAGUCACCUUCACAGCAGGCAAGGAGGGCACGGGGCCGAGUCUGUGCGGAAGUCACCUUCACAGCAGGCAAGGAGGGCACUCUCUCUGCUUGGGGAAAACGUCUCACUCUUCACUGCCUGGGGUUUCCCUGGGGGCUGAGAUGGAGCAAGGAACUGAGGCGGCCGGAAGUGAGGUGAACCGGGGACCAGGAGCAGGACGAGGAAAGGCACCUGGCUUCACUCCUGGGUGGCUGGAGUGAGCAGCGGUUGGGAGAGGGAAGCUGGUGGCCCAGAGGCCAAGGCUCUGCAGUUCCCUCUUGGCAGGUGGGCACCAGCUGGGGCCCUUGGAACCCUCUUUGCAGCCCUGUGACAUCCCUGUCACGGAGACCGGCAGGACCAGCAAAGGCAGCCCUGGCUGGUUUUACCUGGGGAGGUGUUGCAAGUUCUCUGUACCCCCUCCUAGAAUGACAAGUAGUGAAACCUUGCAACAUUCAUAAUUUUAUGUGAAAAAGCCUUUUUGUCUAGAAAUUAUGUCUUGUUUUGUUUUUUUGUUUGCUUAUUUCCAUUAAAAAAUAGGAGGAAAUCAGCCGAGAGGGAUACGUGCCAGCUCUGUUGACCCCAGUAUUUGCCAGGAGAGCCCGGAGGCCCUUAGACCCUCCUCCUUUGGGAGAGUCACCGCCCAGUGGGCAUGCAGUCACAGGGAGCAGGGAGCCCAGCCAUGCUCCCCUGAAGACCCUGAGGACCAGGCCCCCCAAGGGCACCCCUGGGGUAGGUGGAAGGAGCAGAGGUGCUAAGAGCAGGAUGUGCUGACGCCACCGCCUUCUGCAGGGAAUCAGGGGCCGAGGCCCUUUGGUUGGAAGCUGCACUUGGUAGCAGCCCAGCCCUAAAAUAGCAGCAAGUUGAGUCGGGAGCCAUGUCUCCCCUUCCCCUGAAGGUCUCCUGCACGCGAUCGCCCCUGCUCCCCGGCCCCGCCCUUGGUGGGGUCACCGAAUUCUGAACUUGGGGAGAACUGUGGGGCCAGGCUUGGGGUCUGGGUCUUCGUGCAGCAGAACCAAGCCGGGGGCAGAGCCAGGGGUUGGAGUCAGGAUGACUUUGAGGACCUGAACUUGGAGCGGUCACAGGAGUCUUGAGGGGAGCUGGGAUCUUCCCGGGCAUGGAUGGGGCUCCUGUCCAGUCUCAGGAAACCUACUGCAGCCAGGACAAGUGUGGCAGGCAGACGGAAGUGUCCUCCCAGAGGUCAGACCAUCAGAGACCAGGUAGAGACCUGGCCAGCUCCAAAUGUGAUCCCGUCCCAGAGACAGCACAGAGUGAGGGCAGGUGUGUGUUCGAGGAGGGGACAGGCUGGUGAGGCUGGCCAAGUCACCAGAAUGGCUUUCUUCCAACCUUCGUUCUGCAAUGAGCAUAUCCGAGGAAGAUUCAGGUCCACAGUGUCCCAGCCAGUCCCCCUCCCAGGUAUUAGGCCAGCGUGAAGCUGGCUACCGGCAUCACCAACAUCAACCAUUCGCAUCUGCCGGAGUUAAUGGGUGUGUGAUGUUUGGAUGGCUGGAUUCGGCGACUUUUCCCACAUCACCUGCAAGGCCGCAGUCGGCCUGGGAGCUGGCUCCUGACCCCGUCCCCUCUGCACAGCAAGUCCCAGGCGGGUUUCAUCCACCCUCGCUAGAUGGUGACGGAUCAAACGUCAGGAUCUGGUUACACAGCCAGUUACCAUCGUCGCAGCCACGCAUCAGGCCCAGGCUAGAUGCCUGCCAAUGAGAGCAGAGGGGCAAAGGCACCAAGAAACACAGGGAGACAGAUGAAAAUGCAGGAGGGAAGAGAAAAAGCAAGAAGGAAAGAGAGGAGGUUGCUCUUCUUGGGAUGCAGAUCUCAAUUCUAAGGAAUUUCAAAUAUCAAAUUAACACUGCAUUUCUUUAUUUGGGAAAAUUACUAACAAUGGCCUUGCUCUCAAAUAAAUUUACACUGAAAUGGCAUGUCUAUGCAAGAACUGAGGGCUGGCCAGGGAUUCGUGGGACAGGGAAAAGCCAGCUGGCGUCCACUGCAGAAUCUAUUGCUUCUUUGUUGGUGAAAAAAGCCGCACAUUUGCUCACAGAAGUCGUCUGUCGGUGUUGUUGCUGUUGGGAGGUGUAAGAGCAGAGGAGAAACACAGGUGGGGUGUUUUCGAAAGACAUCAUCAAUGCCCUCAGCACACCACAGGAAAUGACGAAUGUCCUUGCCCUUGAACUUUGUCUCAAGCGCCGGAGCCUUCUGGGGACAUUCUUGAGCAGCACGUCACUUUUGCUUCCCUGACAGGCAGAGGCUGUCUCUGGGGGAAGUUCUCUGGGAGGCGGGGCAGCCUGUGGGGUCUAUUCGGGGGUGCAAGUGUGAGUGUGUGAAGAGAUUUAUGAUCAGACAUUGGCUCCCCCCCAGGGGCAGAGAGUGCAGAGCUGGGAGGGGCACUUCUGCCAUGGAAGCCUCUCUUUUUCCCCGAGGGGGCAGGAGGCAGAAGUGAGGAGAGCUGGAGAGUGGGAGAAGAGUCCCCUGCAGACACGCACCGCCCAUGGCCAGCUGUGUAGACAGCUCUGUACUGGAGCGGAGGCUCUCACCACUGGUCUUUGGUGGGGACAGGGUCUGCCAAAUGCUACCCAAAGGGCCUCUGGAGAAACCCUGUGAGGUGAUCAUGUUCUGAGAACCCCAGAACGUCACAGAAGCCUCUGCUCCUCCCGACCUCCCGCCGGGCUGCCCCUGAAGGCGGAGCCGCUCCACCGAGUGCCCGAGCGCCUCCUCUUUCCCGUGUCUUCUCGGGGAGGGUGUGACUCCGGCACAAGCCGGAGGAGUCCUGGUGGAACUGACCGGAUUUGGUUUUUGAAAAUGUGUAGGUGGAGAAUCCAAUGCGCCCCCUCGGGUUUUCAAAACGUGGGCAUCUUGAGUGCGGGAAAGGAAGUGCCUGCCGCUCCCCAGGGCACCCGGUGGCAUCUGCAGAGGGGGGGCAGCCGCAGCAGGCCUGCUGUGGUGACAGCAAAUAGCCAGGCGGCCAGGGAGGCUCCUGCGGUGACAGCCCUGGGUCACAGGGUCAGAAGCAGCCCACUGGGGCCGGGAUGUCUUGCGUCAGUUUGGGAACAUUUUCAGCCAUUACCACUUUAAAUACUGAUUUUGCCUAUUCUUUCUCUUCUUCCCAGAACUCCAGUUACUCACGUGUGGUGUCUUCUCAUUGUGUCUGCUGUCUCUUCCCAUCUCACUGGGGCAGUAGGGCUGCCAUAAGCCAGCACCACAGACCAGCGGCUUCACAACCCUGGCGGCUGCAAGUUCAAGAUCAACACAGGGACAGGGUUAGUCUAGUGAGGCCUCUCUUCCUGGCUUGUGGAGGGCUGCCUGCUCCCUGUGUGCACAAGGCCUUUUCUCUGUGCACACGCAUGUGCACACACACGAGCACACGCACACGCACGCACACACACACGUGCACACACACGCACACAUGCACAUACACGCACACAAUCUGGUGUCUCUUCCUCUUCUCAUAAGGACUCCAGUCCUAUCGGAUCAGGGCCCCACCCUGCUGGCUGCACUUCACCUUAAUUACCUCCCUAAUGUCUUCUCUCCAGACAGACUCACCUUGGUGGGUGGGGCUUUGUGAGGGUUUGAAUGUCCGUGUUCCCCGAAAUUCAUCUGUUGAAAUCCUCAUCCCCAAGGCAAUGGUGUUAGGAGAUGGGGCCUGUGGUAGGGAUGGGGUCCUGAAGGUGGACUGCUGAUCAUGGGAUCGGUGUCCUCAUAAAAGAGGCCCCAGAGCGCCCCUCCCCCAUCCCCCAUGUGAGGACGCAGUGACAUACCAGGGAAGCCGGUCCUUGUCCUCACCACACACGGAAUCUGCCGGUACCUUGAUCUGAGACUCCCCAGCCUUCAAAGCUGUGAGAAAUGCAUUGUUGUUUCUGAGCCCCCAGUCUAUGGCAUUUUGUUAUGGCAGCCAGAACUAAGCCAGGCUUCCGCAUGUGCAUUCUGGGAGGACGCGGUUCAGUCCCUCACACUUGCUCUCUCUAUUUUCCUCCUUAUGCUUCUGUCCUUCAUUCUGAGAAUCUUCUUCUGACCUACUUUCUAGUUAUUCAUUAUUGUUCAGUGAUAUCUAAACUAUUUUUAAACCCACUUACUGAGUUCUGAAACAUCGCUUGUAUUUCUCCCAGGCAAUCAUUUUUGUAUUGCAUUUACAAAUAGGCAUGGAAAUAGAGACUGCAAUGAGAAAAUAGAGAACGCAAUGAGAAAAGUUGGAGUUCUAGAAAGAAAGUGGAGGGAGAAUAGGAAGAAUAUAAUCAGCAAAGAAAAAAAAACAAAUCUUUCCUUUUCGUGUAAUUUUUAUUGCUCCACUGCAGUUCUUGACCUUCUCUUUUUCUUCUCAUGGACAAUGUCUCCAGCGCUCUCUGCAGCCGGCGUCUGAGGGUGCUGCGUCUGCAUUCUCGUGUAGACGUUUUCAUUCGCUGGGUUUCUCACCACUUACACUCGCGCUGCCAUCUCUCCAUGUGUGCCUGGCUCUUUCUUUCUUUGCCUGACAUUCUGUUUGCAGUGUUUUGGAAGGAGAAUCUGAGGCCAGAAUGAUGGCUCCUCCAGAGAGGGUGAGCCCGAGUGCCGGCAGCCUGGAGGGGCAGGGCGGUGGCUCUGGUGUCCUGUGGUUUGCGUGGGCUCUCUCUGCACUUACACUCACAAAAAGACAGUAUCUCAGGCAGGAAUUCUCGCAGGGUGCAGGCUUCUCUUUUGACAGUUUAAUGUCACGCAUGGGUUCCUUUGUAAACAUCAGAUCAAUAGCGGAGUUCCAAAUGAAAACAUUAGGAUAAG